RNAcentral lists this ribosomal RNA (301 nucleotides) under Cuneopsis heudei. Its description in RNAcentral is "partial 16S ribosomal RNA". The stretch from base 63 to 301 matches the Rfam family "Bacterial large subunit ribosomal RNA", at positions 2047 to 2519 of the family's 2925-position model. Lineage: Eukaryota; Metazoa; Mollusca; Bivalvia; Unionida; Unionidae. The record is from RNAcentral.
UUGGAGGCCAGUGAAUGGCAAGACUAGGAAUAGCUGUACUUUGUAUACAAAAAGAACUUUUCGUCUAAGUGAAAAGACUUAGAUAACAAAGGAAGACGAAAAGACCCCGCGGAACUUUACCUCUUCUCAUACUUCUGCCUAUCCGCUCGAAAGUAUACGAGGUUUGAUUGGGGCAAUCUUGGAACCAGUAAAACUUCCAAUUUUUUUAAAAGACAUCCAAAAUUUACUAAGGACCGAAAAGUAGUUACCCCGGGGAUAACAGCGUAAUCCAACUCAAGAGUACACAUCGAAAGUUGGGUUU